UACGUAGGUGGCAAGCGUUGUCCGGAUUUACUGGGCGUAAAGAGCGCGCAGGCGGUCGUGCAAGUCGCGUGUGAAAGCCCCCGGCUCAACUGGGGAGGGUCACGCGAUACUGCUCGACUCGAAGGCAGGAGAGGGAAGUGGAAUUCCCGGUGUAGUGGUGAAAUGCGUAGAUAUCGGGAGGAACACCAGUGGCGAAGGCGGUUCUCUGGGCCUGUACUGACGCUGAGGAACGAAAGCGUGGGGAGCGAACAGG
This 253-nucleotide ribosomal RNA is filed under the name uncultured bacterium. RNAcentral describes it as "partial 16S ribosomal RNA". It matches the Rfam family "Bacterial small subunit ribosomal RNA", at positions 524 to 776 of the family's 1533-position model. The record is from RNAcentral.